This 449-nucleotide ribosomal RNA is filed under the name uncultured bacterium. RNAcentral describes it as "partial 16S ribosomal RNA". It matches the Rfam family "Bacterial small subunit ribosomal RNA", at positions 29 to 523 of the family's 1533-position model. The record is from RNAcentral.
AACGAACGCUGGCGGCAUGCCUAACACAUGCAAGUCGAACGAGAUCUUCGGGUCUAGUGGCGCACGGGUGCGUAACGCGUGGGAAUCUGCCCUUUGGUUCGGAAUAACAGUUGGAAACGACUGCUAAUACCGGAUGAUGACGAAAGUCCAAAGAUUUAUCGCCAGAGGAUGAGCCCGCGUAGGAUUAGCUAGUUGGUGUGGUAAAGGCGAACCAAGGCGACGAUCCUUAGCUGGUCUGAGAGGAUGAUCAGCCACACUGGGACUGAGACACGGCCCAGACGCCUACGGGAGGCAGCAGUGGGGAAGAUUGGACAAUGGGCGAAAGCCUGAUCCAGCAAUGCCGCGUGAGUGAUGAAGGCCUUAGGGUUGUAAAGCUCUUUUACCCGGGAUGAUAAUGACAGUACCGUGAGAAUAAGCUCCGGCUAACUCCGUGCCAGCAGCCGCCGUAA